Molecule: long non-coding RNA, 15604 nt
Filed under: Lathyrus oleraceus (garden pea)
Lineage: Eukaryota; Viridiplantae; Streptophyta; Magnoliopsida; Fabales; Fabaceae
Description: Pisum sativum (pea) long non-coding RNA (PSAT_LNC036935)
Source: RNAcentral
AUAGCUACAGGAAUGGUUUUGAAUUAGAGUGACGUCGGAUCGGUGAAUUCCUUAUGGUGGUCUGUGGUAGUUUGAAGAGUUAUUGAGAUGAGUAUGGCUAAGGCUCGGUGGUGUGUUCGUCGGAUGAAGGUGAUGGCGGUUUGGCGGUGGUAUAAAGAAGAAGGGUUUAGUCGAUGAUGAAUAGUUAUGGAGGAGAAGGAGAUCUAAUAAGUUGAAGAGGUUUUGAGUGGUGACGGCGUUGUUGUGUGAUAUCGGAGCAGACGGAGUAUGGUGGAAGGUUGUUAGCAUGGUACGGACGGCGGUGGAAGGUGGAAGAGAUGGUGGCAGUCGGUUGUUUAGGAAGAUGAACAGUGGUUCAUCUCUUUUUUUCUUCUUUAUUCUCAUUUUAUUGUUUAUUUCUCUGACAGAAAGCCAUUGGAAAAUGAGAGUGUGUAGAGGCUAGUCCUCCUAGUGAGAGCCUAGAGAGGAAUUUUUUCUUUUCUUUUUUCGUUACCAAGAGAGACCGUCUAUUUUUUUUAGAGAGAGUCGUAUAUGCCUCUCUUUUUUUCUUUUUAUUCUCCCCAUUUGCCAAUUAGAGAGUGGUUAGUGGAGAGAGCUUCCUUGUGACAGUUUUCUUCUCCUUUUGUUUUUAUUCGCCAGCUGUUACCACUUAUCUCCCAUGUGACCGUUAGACAACAUCAUCCCUUAUGUGUGGUCUUUGUGAUAGGGAGGAUCAAGAUACUAUUUUUUUUUUUUGGUUAAACAAACAAAAUAGAAAUGUUAAUUUAUGAUUGGUUAAAAAAGGAAGUGAGGAUAGUGCAUCAAAACCUUUGAUUAAAUUCGAAUCAACGGUCCAAGUUAACCCAAAGAAGCAUAAGCAAUUUUAAAAUGCCAAAGUUACCUCUUCUAGAUGAUUUAAUUGAUUUAAAUGGGAUUAAAUCAAUUUAUUCAAAUAAAAUUCACAACUUUUCAAAUAAUCAUAAAUAAAAUUAAAAUAAGAGCAUGGAAAAUUCUAUUUAUUUAAUUUGAAUAUUUUGGCGAAAAAGUAGAAUUAAAACGACUAAAAAUGAAUAAAAAGUCGGGCGAAAAUUUGCUCAAAAAAUUAAACCGGACGCACUAAAAUUAUCAGCGCGAAAUAUACUUAUUGAAAAAAUACAGCGUUUCUUUUAAUUUUGAAAUAAAUUUUCACCGGCUCAAACGGAUUAAAAUGCAACUAAAAAAGUCAUCGAAAAAUAUAACGAGCCCACCAGGCUGGACUACGCGAACCGUAGAUUAAUAAUACUGGUGUCUGUAAGUUUAAUCUCGAAACUUUUUACCCGCUGAUUUUGCAUGUACUUGAGAAAUGAUUUAACCAAGUUGUGUGUAUAUUCAAGAAUUUAUUCUGACUGAUAUUUUAGGUAUUAUUCAUAAUGAAAUGCAUGCCAUGCUAUACAUAUGAUGCAAAUUGAAUUUAAAAAAAUUGAAUUUAUGAAAGUUUUAAAAUGCCCAGACAAAAUUGGGGUAUGACAGUUGCCCCUAUUUAAUUACCUUAAACCAGAAAGUAUGAAUGACAACAAUCUUCGUACAUUCGUGAUGGAAGAUAAUUAAAUACGAAAAGAACCAAUUUUUUCCUUUGAGAUGGAAGGAUGAAAUGCAUAAAGAAAAUGCAAUGAGAAAUACAGUAAGAAAAGUAAAUGAGGUAAAUUAACCAAUCAAGACUCUCUGGGAAUUAUCAGAAUAGUAUAUUGGAUGCCAUGAUUGAGAUAUUACAACAAUGGAAUGAUACCUCAAUCAUAUUUAAGAUUUUCUGAGGAUUAGCAUAACAGUGUAUCUAAAAAUGAAUGAGACUCUUCGUAUUGAUGAAGCAGCGUCUCAAACAGCAACAUGAGAUUCUCUGUAUCGAAUCGAAUCAGCAUCUUAUAUGAUAAAAUUAAGAUGUUCCUAGUCAAAAGGAAUGAUAUCUUUAUUGAAUAUAAGACUCUUCAAGGAUACUAGAGCAGUAUCUCUAAAAAAUAUGGAAUGAGACUCUUCAUAUUGAUGAAGCAGCAUCUCAAACAGCAAAAAUGAGAUUCUCUGUAUCGAAUUAAAGCAGCAUUUUAUCUGAUAGAAUUAAGAUAUUCCAAACUAAAGGAAUGAUAUCUUAAUUGAAUCUAAGACUCUUCGAGAAUGCUAGAGCAGUAUCUUUAAAAAAUCUAGAAUGAGACUCUUCAUAUUGAUGAAGUAGCAUCUCAAACAGCCAAAAUGAGAUUCUCUGUAUCGAAUCGAAGCAUCAUCUUAUCUGAUAGAAUUAAGAUAUUCCAGACCAAAGGAAUGAUGUCCUAAUUGAAUCUAAGACUCUUCGAGGAUACUAGAGCAGUAUCUCUAAAAAAUCUGGAAUGAGACUCUUCAUAUUGAUGAAGCAGCAUCUUAAACAGCAAAAUGAGAUUCUCUGUAUCGAAUCGAAGCAGCAUCUUAUUUGAUAGAAUUAAGAUGUUCCAGACUAAAAGAAUGAUGUCUUAAUUGAAUCCAAGACUCUUCUAGGAUACUAGAGCAGUAUCUCUAAAAAUCUGGAAUGAGACUCUUCAUAUUGAUGAAGCAGUAUCUCAAACAGCAAAAAUGAGAUUCUCUGUAUCGGAUCGAAGCAGUAUCUUAUCUGAUAGAAUUAAGAUAUUCUAGACUAAAGGAAUGAUGUAUUAAUUGAAUCUAAGACUCUUCGAGGAUACUAGAGAAGUAUCUCAAUAAAACAAAUGAGAUUCUUCAAAUCAAUGAAGCAGUAUCUCAAACAGAGAAAUGAGCUUCUUCAGAUAAAUGAUGCAGCAUCUCAAAUGUUCAUCUGUUGGGGGAAUAUUUAAGACAAUACUCCUUUUGAGGGAGAUUUACUAGGAAUGCUCUACAGGGGAAAAGCCCAUAAUAGACUUUUUAGGGUAACCUUUGCUUGGGGAGCAAUGAUAGCAAAGAAAAUGCUAGGAAUAUCACUAUCAACCAUAAAAUUGACAAAUAACUAGCUGAGGAACAAUUUCACAAGCACGUGCAUGGUAAUAACUCCGUUGAAUUGAAUGAGGAAAGUCCGAGAUACACAUGAAUGACCCCGAAUCCUGAUAUUUGUUAUGUUUUUUUUGUAUGAUGCUCCGUUUUGGAUGGCAAUACUAUGCACAGGGUGAUGUAUGAGGUGUAUGCAUUAUGCAAUUACUGGGGACAUUUAGGAUGUGCAUAUAGGAAUGCGAAUCGUAUAAGGCUAUGCAUAUGUAUGCCAAUGAUUGGUAUGUGUAGCGGGGUAUUCGUUACCUUUAGAUUUAUUGACUAAAUCAAAAGUAAAUCAUACAAUUCGAGUCGCCACCGCACUUCUAUUUAUCCAAAGGAAAGGUUAGAAAGCGAACAAAAACCGAGAAGUUUUAUCAAAUCAAAAACUAAUAAAAAUGUCAGAGAUCUGGGUAAGGGGUUGGUUAUGCAAUGGGGGUUUUAAGCACCCAAAACAUCCUUAGUACUCUAAGGGAGCCCUUUUUACAAAUGUUGUAAGGUAGGUUGGUAUUUGUGAAAAUAUUUGUGCAAACAUGAUUGGGGAGAUAAGAAAAGAAUAUACAAUUUAUUUACAAUUUUGUGUUUGAAUGGAUGAACCCAUUGCCUACGUACCAUCUUAAAAAAGAGUAGGAUCAAAACCUCGUAGUUCGGGGUAAAAAUCUCAAAAGAAGUUGGUGAAUUGAUUGGUCAAAAGCCUUAAGGUAUUUUGUUAUCAAAGGGAGAAAACUCAACCUAAAACCACAAAUCCACCAUGUGAGGAGAGCUUUAACAUGCUAGUGAGGGAUUAACCCUAUAAUAAGCAUGGAAGACUUAUAGUCCAUCACUAAGGAUACAGGUGAGUAUUAUAUCAACCUUUAGGAUAACUCAAACCUAAUAGCUAAUGUUUAUGAAAAGCUUUAACACAAAUGGUCAUUGGAACCACAAAAAAACAAUUGAGUGAAUUGUAUUUACAAAUGAAAAGUAUUCACAAAAUAACUUCAAAGUUGACUUAAGAUUCAAUUCAAAAUAAGUGUUAUGAAAAGAGUUUGAAAAAUCAAAGGCAUAAUGCCUAGGUUUCUAAUUUUAAAAACAAUGUUAAUGUUUGCACAAAAGUUUGGCUUGGGUUAGAGUGGAGAGAAGAAGAGAAGUGCUAGGUCCUAAACAUGCAAAGAUGAGGGAAGAGAAAUAAAAACACUUAGAGUUCUCUUCUUGAGAUCAUAAAGAUGAUCCAAGUUUCUCCUUUCCUUUGGAUUUAGCAAGCAAUAAGCAAAUAACUCAAGCAAUCAAGCAAACAUCAAUCAAGCUCCUAAGAAUCUUCCAAUUGGCUUUUGUAUCUCUUAUCUUGGAUGUCCAUGACAAUGAUUUUUCUAAUUGGCUCAAGCUUAGGAUCCCUAUCACAAGAACACACAAAUCAAAAAGUUCCACAAUGCAAUAGAAAGAAUGGACAAGAGUGAGUUUAGAAUUAGGGGUCCUUUCAAUGUCAUCUUCAAGAUUAAGCAUUCUAAAGGCAUGAAACACACAAAUCAAAAAGUUCCACAAUGCAAUAGAAAGAAUGGACAAGAGUGAGUUUAGAAUUAGGGGUCCUUUCAAUGUCAUCUUCAAGAUUAAGCAUUCUAAAGGCAUGAGGCCUAGUUGCUCUUCAACAUGUUUAGCAUUCUAAAGGCAUGAGGCCUAGAUGCUCUUCAAACUCCAUUUAGCAUAGUUAAGGUCCUAAAUCUAAGUCCUUUCUCCAUUUGCUUUGGGUUCACACAAACAAAAACAAAACAAGCACAAGGCAAUAGUAUAUACACAAUAAUGUGCUCAAUUGAGCAAAAGGCAAAUGGCAUAAGCAUAAACAUGAUCUCAAGUGAGCAAAGGGAAAAAGACAAAUGAAUUAAUGAGCAAGAAUUUAAAUUGCAUUAAAGUAAAUUACAAGAAUUAAAUGCUUGAAUUAAAAGUUAGUGAUUAGUAGUUAGUGUUAGUGUGCCAUAAGGCAAUUUAGCUCUAUGUUAAGCAAUCGUAAGUGGACUAAUGUAGUAGUCACACCUAUCUGAGGCCGGUCAAUAAAACUAUAGGCAAACAAACACAAGUUAGAGACCAUGACUAGUAAUCCAAGCUCCUACAACUUGUCAUGCCAAAAGAAAAGAAGAAUGAUCUUGUAUGGAUUUAGGUUUUUUGUUUGACCAAGAAGCAACCUAUCUCUAAUGCAAAGCAAUUCACUUGAUCUUUGAUCAAGGUGAAUUUGAUUUGGAUCAAAGAAGGUUAAGCCCCUUAUAUGUCAAGGCUAACCACCAACCAUUAACUCAUUGAUCAAAAAGAAAAAAGAAGAAGAAGAAGAAGAAGAAAUGGAAUGUACACAAUUGAAAUUCAAAUGACAUAACCAACACAUAUUGAUCAAACAUGAAUGGGAUCAACAUCAAUCAAUGGUAAACAGAAGUGAGAUGAAGCUUAGAAGUCAAGAAACAAUGCAAAUAUUUUUGGUAUUUUUUGAAAUUAAAAUAAUACUUGAAUUAAAAUGAACAAAUAAAGGUCAAACUUCAAAUCCAAUUCAAAUCAACAUGGAAAAGUCCAAUUGGAUCAUCAUAAGUUCAACAUGGUCAAACAAGGUUUGACAAAAAAUUUCAUCAUUUUUUGAAAACAGAAACUAAUUUUAAACAAUUAAAAAUGAAGAAAAAUAACAUAAUUGAGGAAAAGUCCAAUUGGAUCAUCAUAAGUUCAACAUGGUCAAACAAGGUUUGACAAAAAAUUUCAUCAUUUUUUGAAAACAGAAACUAAUUUUAAACAAUUAAAAAUGAAGAAAAAUAACAUAAUUGACAAAUAAAUCUCAAAUCAAUUAAGAAAUUGAUGAGAAUAUUUUUCAUAGAUUCAUCAUCAUUCAAAGAUGUUAAGAAAAUAUUUUUGGCAUUUUUGAAUAUUGGAAAGUAUUUUAAAUGAUUAAAAAUAACCAGAAAAGAGAAAAUUCACAAAAAAUAUUAAAUGGAAUCACAAAAGUAAUUAAAAAUCAUUUUUAGAAACUAGAAUUUAAGAGAAAAAAUUUGCAAUUGGUCCCAUAUUUUUGUGAUUCCAAAUAAAGAAGUUGUGAAUUUUUAAAAUAAAAUGAAAUUCAGAAAUUUGAAAAAAAACAAGGAGUGUCUGAUCUUGAUUCAUUAAUUGACGUGGCACAUCAAGUGGCUGAUAAGCGCGCGCUCAUGGUGUGGAUUAGUCAAACGCGUAGCACCAAGCAUUAAAACAAGGCAUAACGUUUAAGGGCUGGGAUUAGAUCUGGGAACAAGGAUCCAAUGGCCAUGAACUCAUCCACGUGGGGACGGUGGUGGAAACCACUGUCUUCUCCGGUGAGACUCACCGUUCCGGCCAGGAUUGUAGGUUUUCAAACCUUCAUCAUUUUGCACGAUCCAUACAUCAUUAGAAACUUAGGGUGAUGUACAUCACCUUUGUACCCUUGGUUUCCACUCAAGAUCUCUAUAGAGAGAGAGAAAUCUGAGAUGGAAAAUUGUGGUGUUCAAACUGAACUUACUCAAUUCACAAAAUUAAAUGCACAAAUCAAUUGCCUCUCACAUGAGGACUUCAGAGGUACCAAGCAAUGCAAGAAAUGAAAUCUGAGAUGGAAAAUUGUGGUGUUCAAACUGAACUUACUCAAUUCACAAAAUUAAAUGCACAAAUCAAUUGCCUCUCACAUGAGGACUUCAGAGGUACCAAGCAAUGCAAGAAAUGAUCAAUAUCUAAGGAGUUUUGAAUGAAAACAGUUUGAACAACAACCUUUGAAGUGCAGCUUUCAAUGGCACAAUCUGAUCCAACUCUUUGAUGCAGCUUGUUCUUGAGGUAGCAAGGAAGCAAGGUUCAGGAAUUGAAGUUCAAAGAUCAACCAAUGAAGUUGAAAAUUGAACUUGAAAAAUUGAGAGAAAAAUCAAAAUUCCUUUGAGUGAGGGUUUGGAUUUCACUUCUGCAGAAUUUCAGGCGCCUUGAGGUUGAAGUUUGAAGUGAAUGCAACCUUCUAUUUAUAGGCAAGGAUGACGCAAUGCAUGAAAUAUCCGUGUGCAUGUGAAGUUGGAUCCUCCGUGCAUGGGCCUGUACAGGCGCAUGGGAGGCCCAAGAGCAAUGGCAAUUGAAUGCUAAACAUCAGCCAAAUGAAAUUGGACAUGCAGAUUGUAAUGUGUAAGCUUGUGCAUGGAGUUUCAACAUGGUUUCCAUAAAUGAUCAAAAAACUUCACCUCUUCGAAAAUGCCAUUUUCAAAAUUGAAACAUAGGCAUGUGGGUAAUGGUUGGAAAGGUAUUAACAUGAGGAACAAAUGUUAUGUUGAACAAAAAUCCAUUUGGAGUUGGGAAAAUAUUGAAAACUGAUCAUGAAGUUCAAGGUACAAAACAUGUGUAUGGAAAUUUUGCCAAAAUGGACCAACUUCAAGCCCUUCUGUUUAAAUUAUUAAAGCCUCAAAUGACAAACCCUCCAACAUAAAAGUUGUAUAUCUUUUCAAGACAAUAAUUUUGGACUUAAAUUUUGCAUCAUUUGGAUUUUUUAUGAGAAAGGUAUGGGCACUUGAAGUUGGACUUUUUCACAUUUCAAUGACUUUGGUCCAAAGUGACCUAUAAUGUUUUGUAUUAUCACAUGUAUUUAUUUUAGGAUUAUCAAAUUUUUUCCAACAUAACAAUUGAAUUAUACAUUUUAAAAUUUCCAAUGCAUUUGGUCCCACCUCAAAAUAAUGAAAAAUGAAGGAGUUAGGUCCUUGGGAAGUUGACCCAAAAUUAGGGUUUCAGUCAAAAUGACCUAUAAUGUUUUGAAAUGAAUGAUGACCUUCCAAGUUUCAAAUCAAUUUUAGAUGAACAUGAAAGUUGUUCAUAUGGUUCUUAAGAACAUGUUUUCUCUUGGGGUAAUCUUCAUUUGACAAACACAUCAAAAGUUAGGUCUCAGUGGAUUUCAAAAUAGUCAGAUGAAUUGACUGAUCAACUUCUCAAGUCCAAACUUCAAAUCUUGAUGAAUUGAUGAUUAAAGACACUCACAUAAGCUCAAAUAUGCAUAAAAUGAUUAAUGAAAUAACUUCCCUUGAUUUUAUUUGAUCAUGGAUUGAGGUUGUUUCAUGAGCAAGGCACAGUCAAUGCACAGUUGAAUUAGGGUUUCCUUGGGAAACAAUCCUCAAGCCCUUUGGUUUAUAUUGAUCAAAAUGACAAAUUGAGAUACUUGGGAGGCAUAUAUGAUGAUUCAGAGCUUUUGGAACCAUUGUCAUGCUUGAUUUCACUUUCAUUUGGCCACUUCAAUGGGCAUAGGGGCCUCCUAGGAGCCUUGGAUCACAUGAUUGCUCAAGCUUCAAAACAAACAAAGUUAGUGACAUAUUUUUGUGCUUUUGGUUAGUAAACAAAAACUUCAAUGGGCAUAGGGGCCUCCUAGGAGCCUUGGAUCACAUGAUUGCUCAAGCUUCAAAACAAACAAAGUUAGUGACAUAUUUUUGUGCUUUUGGUUAGUAAACAAAAUAAGAAAAGCAAUAAUACAUAAUUCAAGCAUGCUUGGUGGUCUCAAACCAACUCUCACAAGUCCCAACCCAAGGGUAAAGGAGCCAAGAUGCUAUGAUCCUUGAGGCAAAUGCAAAUGCAAUGAUAUGAUGCCAUGAGGGAUCUUAGGAUCAAAAUUAGGGUCUUACAGAUGCCCCUAUUUAAGGUCAUUCUAGCCAGAGAUAUGAAGGUUAAAAUCUUCGUCUCGGCGUGGUAGAAUGGGCUUAAAUAAUAACAAAGAGACGAAUUUUGGUCCCUAAGAGACCUCAUGAUGCAAAUGUAUGUAUGCAAACGUUAAUACUCUGUGGGGAUAUAUGUCCACAAAGGAAAAAGAAAUCAGCAAAAACUGAGAAUCCAAAUGAGUAAUACACUCAUAAAUGGGACAAAGACUCUAGGGACUUUACUGGGGAAUAAAUGGGAUAAAAAUGUGUGAGCAGGUCACGACUUAAAAUUUGCUAGGAGACACGAAGGGAUUCCAUGAAAAUAAAUCAAUGGAAAGACUCGAGCUGACACAAAGAUGCAUGCAUUGGGGAAUAUGCCAAUACAGCAAACUAUCCACAAAGGAUACUUCGGAUAAAAAUUCGGACUCAGGUGGGGAUGUCCACAAAGGGACUCAGCUGAGGAAACAAAAUGAGGUAUUAGCGGUUACUGGGUAAUAAGAUCAAAGAGACAUAUGAUCAAAAUACCAGUAUAAGGGUGAGAGAACAACACGCUCGGGGAGAAAGAAUAUCUAAGACCGGUAUAAGGGUGAGAGAUAUCAAUUAACCAAAACAUCUGAGGAAAACCUAAAAAGGUAUAUUUCAACUCAGGAAAAUCUAACUCCACAGGGGAUAAAAAGUCAUAAUAGGGAGCAGAAGGGAAGGAACACCAGGGAUACCGGUUACUGGGCAUAUAAUAGGUGACCAACCAAGCAUGAAUUGGGGAAUAUUUCCAAAAUACUCAUCAUCCGAAAGGAGGGCUGAAAAAGCAAACUCGAUUAUAGGAUGGACAUUCGAUUCCAUAAGGAAAUACGAAUCUUACUUAACUAGGGAAGAAAAAGACUUCGACUGAAGAGCGCAUGAGAUAUAUUAUCUAUUACCGUCAUAACAUAGAUAACAUACUCGCAUGGAAGAUUAUCCACAACCGGUUACUGGGUUAAUAAAGGAUAAAUCGAUCGAAAAGAAAGGACAUCGGGAUACCGACUACUGGAUACAAAAUGAUGACCAAUCAAAGGGGAGAAAUAAUCAUCAUCGAACAAGGGUAAGUGAAAGAUGACUCGCUGGGGAUACAUUGACAAAAGCAAUGAUCUGGGAGAUAUAUCACCGGUUACUGGGGAGAUAUACUCAAAACAAAGGAAUAUCAAUAAUGAAUAUUGGAUAAAGAUAACCAACAAGGAAGGGAUUACAUCUACCGGUUACUGGGUAGAAAACCACAGAACAGAAUCAAGGGUUAACUCUGCAAGGGAACAACACGGGUUUUACAACUACCGGUUACUAGGUAGAAAACCACAACAGUAGGACUUACAACUACAGGUUACUGGGUAGAAGGCCACACCAUCCACUAGGGAGAGAAUGAGCAACUACUGUUUACUAAGCAAUUGGUCAUCUGAACCACAGGGAAGUGCAGGGGAAAUAACGAGAGUAGUCAAUCUAGGAACAAACUAGAGAGACACAAUGAAACAAGACUCAACCCAAUGAGGAUAUAACUCAGGGGAAUAAUUCCCUCCCAAUACAUGUUUUGGAAGGAAACUGAAAUAAUAAUCAUCCACGAGGACAUAACUCAGUGGGGAAUAUAGAAGAAAGGAUAGACACUUUCUGCUUAUAGGGCUGACUCUAUAUGGAGAGAUCAGACACAAACAUCUGCUUGGGGAAAUAUGUAUCACCAAAUAGUAGGAGUCAACAACCAAAGAUAUAUGGCAAAGAAUGCAACAUGAAUAUCUGAAUGUUAUGAUUAUGCAUGUAUAUGCGUGGUUUAUGUAUGAUUAAUGCUGACAAACAGACAUAUCUAACACAAACAGGUCCAAGAAUCAACAGAUAGACAUCUGGUACUACAUCUCAAAAGAGAAAGCCAAGCCCACAGGAAAAAAUCCAAUCUGGUGGGGGCAAAAAAUACCAGGAAACGAAUCACUGCUAAGGAUCAAACGAAGUUGCUUCCAGGGACAAAGACCACUGCCAGGGGAACACGCAGGAUCACUGGGGAUCAGAGACUGCUGUUGGGAAUAAGCAAAGGAUCACAACCACUAAAAUUGGGGAUCUUCCAACAGUACACCGAAACAAGGAUAAGAUCAGUCAGAGAAGAAAUCUAUUGGGGAUCUUAUCAGGGGGUGAUGUGGAAUUCUGUGGGGAAUAACCACUAAAUAGAAUCACAUCAAACAAAAUUCACUUCUAACCACAGAAGGAAACAUCUCUGUUAUGGAGAAGGAGAACCAGUCACUCCGCUGGGGAAAAAGACAACAUGUCCUCCUCAGAAGUUCCAACACCAAACGAAAAUCAGGUAAAGCCUUAGCUGGGGGAACUAAACACGGAUAAGAUUCAUCGUAGAAGUAACUCUACUGGGGAAAAACCAAGGAAAGAUAAGAAACUCUGUGGGGAAUAACCACCGAACAAAAGUUCUAAUAACCAUCACAAUUCCUCAUACUGUCGGAGAAACAAACUCUGCCGAGGAGAAGAGAAACACCACUCCUCUAGGGAUAAAAAAUAAGCAUUUUCAUCACCCGCUCUGCUUAGGAGGAAAAACCAUCCGAGAAGGAGGAAGUAACCAUAACCAGGCUCCGAUCAGGCAACUCCACUAGGGAAACAACUGCUGAUGACUGAACCGGGAAUAGCAUGUAGGCGAUCAGCUGGAGAUAACCUGCUGGUGACCAAACUGAGGGAGUCUAACAUGAGCAACCCUGCUGAGGAUGAACAGGAGGCAAACCUACUGGAGAUCAAUGUAGGAGAAUCCACAGGGGAUAAGCUACAGACCAACUUAUUGAAAAAUUCUCUUAUGUUGGGAUUUCCUGCUCACUAUGCGGGAGAUUUCCAAUAUGAAUGAGGGAAGACCAACUUCCUCGAAGAAGAUAGCAUAUCAACUUAUCAAUCUAUAAGGGAUUUUAGGUCAAUCCACACAAGGGACGACAACCAUAUAAUUGAUAACACAGAUGCUAGAACCAGACUCACUGGGGAGCUAGAAGAUUGAUACCAAACUUCAGACUUUCAGGGGAUCUUGGUGGAAUGUUACUUUCUUCUGCGCUCGCUGAGGAGACAGACUGAAAGAUGAUGAAGAGGAUACAAAGAUAUGCAAAUGCCUUACCCUUUUGGAGAUCAACUAUCCUUGGGAGAGCACUGAAGACGUUCCAUUUAUCCUUUUCAGUCUUUUGUGAAUGUUCACUUGUUUAAAAAUAGUUUAUCAAAAAUUUGUUUGUUUAAAACAAUGAUAUUUAUCAAUUAAAACAUGCAAAUAUUGGUUGAACAGAAACAAAUAAGAGUGCAAAGAAUUAGAUAAAGGUUCAAAUUUAUUUGAUGGAAUGGUAGUCUGCAAAUGGCAAGACUCCAUGGAUCUUUACAAAUUUGAAAUUGGUGAUAUAUAUUGGAAAAGGGAUACAUUGAACAUAAUGACCAUUUCUCCACCAACUCAUGGCAAGACUCCAUGGAUCUUUACAAAUUUGAAAUUGGUGAUAUAUAUUGGAAAAGGGAUACAUUGAACAUAAUGACCAUUUCUCCACCAACUCUGAAUCCAAUGUAUUUGAAGCUUCAGUUGACGACGACUGAGCGAGAAUCUUUGACAGAUGACAGCUUGUAGAACCUAGUCUUGUCAGGAUGCAGUUACUUGCCAAAUCCCUAACUUUUUCCUAGAUUUCCCUAGGGUGAGGUACUCAAUCUAGAGGGAUAUAUAUUCAUUUUUAUGUCUCUAACUUUUGCCUGGAUCGCCCUUUCGGGUUUUCAAUCCACCGAGACGCUCAUUUUUGCCUAAAUCGCCCUUUCGGGUUUUCAACUUAGCAAGCUAUUCUAUUUUUAUUUUAGGCGAAGUAUUUCUUGACUGCAUCUGAAUUCACAGGACGAGUGAAAUCCUCCCCAUCCAUAGUUCUAAGUAUCAAAGCACCGCAUGAAAAGGCUCUCUUAACAACAUAUGGACCUUCAUAGUUUGGAGUUCACUUGCCCCUAGAAUCGGGCGCGAAAGAAAAAACUUUCUUGAGCACAAAGUCACCUUCUCGGAACACACGAGGGUUGACCUUCUUAUCAAAGGCUUUCUUCAUCCUUUGCUGAUAUAACUGACCAUGGCACAUGGCAUUCAAUCUCUUCUCUUCAAUUAAGUUCAGUUGAUCAUAACGACUCUAAACCCAUUCAGCCUCAGUCAACUUGGCUUCCAUCAAGACUCUCAUUGAUGGGAUCUCAACCUCCAUGGGGAGCACAGCCUCCAUGCCAUAUACAAGAGAGAAAGGGGUUGCCCCUGUUGAAGUGCAGACAGAUGUACGAUAACCAUGCAAAGCAAAUGGCAGCAUCUCAUGCCAAUCUUUGUACGUAACAACAAUCUUCUGAAUAAUCUUCUUGAUGUUCUUAUUAGCAGCUUCAACAUCCCCAUUCAUCUUGGGUUUGUAAGGAGAAGAAUUAUGAUGUGCAAUCUUGAACUCGCUACACAUCUCUUUCAUCAUCUUGUUGUUCAAGUUAGAUCCAUUAUCAGUAAUGAUCUUGUCUGGCACACCAUAACGGCAUGUGAGUUGAUUCUUGAUGAACUUCACAACCACUUGCCUGGUCACGUUUGCAUAUGACGCCGCUUCAACCCACUUGGUGAAGUAAUCAAUUUCUACGAGAAUAAAUCUGUGACCGUUGGACGCUUUUGGCUCUAUCAUGCCAAUCAAGUCAAUUCCCCACAUAGAGAAAGGCCAUGGUGAUGAAAUCAUAUUCAGAAGUGUCAGGGGAAUAUGAAUUUUAUCCGCAUAAAUCUGACACUUGUGGAACUUCUUCACGUAUUUGCAGCAGUCAGACUCCAUUGUCAGCCAAUAGUAGCCUGCUCUCAACAUUUUCUUUGCCAUGGCAUGUCCAUUGGAAUGAGUACCAAAUGAACCCUCAUGGACUUCAGUCAUCAACAGGUCUGUUUCGUGUCUAUCCACGCAUCUGAGAAAAACCAUGUCAAAAUUCCUCUUGUAAAGCACAUCGCCAUUGAGGUAGAAACUGCCAGAUAAUCCCUCAGAGUCUUCCUAUCUUUAACAGAUGCCCUAGGCGGGUAAAUCUGACUCUGAAGAAAACACUUGAUAUCACAAUACCAUGGCUUAUCAUCCUUCACUUCUUCGAUUGCAAAUAUAUGAGUUGGUCUAUCCAAGCGCAUCACAGUAAUAUUGGGAACUUCAUUCCAGAAUUUCACCACAAUCAUCGAAGCAAGCGUAGCAAGUGCAUCUGCCAUCCGAUUCUCAUCUCGGGGAAUAUGAUGGAAGUCAACCUCAGUAAAGAACGUUGAAAUCCUCCUCGCAUAAUCUCUAUAUGGGAUGAGGCCAGGCUGAUAAGCAAGCGUAGCAAGUGCAUCUGCCAUCCGAUUCUCAUCUCGGGGAAUAUGAUGGAAGUCAACCUCAGUAAAGAACGUUGAAAUCCUCCUCGCAUAAUCUCUAUAUGGGAUGAGGCCAGGCUGAUUCGUCUCCCAUUCACCCUUAAUCUGAUUAACUACAAGGGCCGAAUCACCAUAAACAUCAAGAUGUUUGAUCCUAAGCUCAAUACAUUCUUCCAAUCCCAUAAUACAGGCCUCAUACUCUGCCAUAUCAUUCGUGCAUUUGAAAGUUAGCCUUGCUGUAAAAGGAAAAUGUGUGCCCUGAGGAGUAAUAAUCAUUGCCCUAAUACCAUUUCCAUAUUGAUUUACAGCGCCAUCAAACACCAUGUUCCAUCGAGAACCAGGCUCUGGCCCUUCAUCGAGCGUAGGCUCAUCACAAUCUUUCAUCUUCAAAUACAAAAUCUCCUCAUCAGGGAAGUCGUAUUGAACAGACUGAUAGUCCUCAAUUGGUUGAUGUGCCAAGUGGUCAGCCAAGAUACUACCUUUAAUAGCUUUCUGAGCUCGAUACUCAAUAUCAUACUCAGACAACAGCAUCUGCCAACGGGCAAUCCUCCCAGUUAAAGCAGACAAUAUCAUAUUCGGAUAACAACAUCUGCCAAUGGGCAAUCCUCCCUGUUAAAGCAGGCUUCUCAAAGAUAUACUUGAUUGGAUCCAUUUUGGAUAUCAACCAAGUCGUAUGAUUCAACAUAUACUGACGUAAGCGCUUAGCAGCCCAAGCCAAAGCACAACAUGUUUUCUCAAGCAUUGAAUAUCGAGACUCACAAUCAGUGAACUUCAUACUCAGAUAGUAGAUAGCAUACUCUUUUUUCCCUGAUUCAUCUUGCUGACCCAAUACACAACCCAUAGAGUCUUCAAGAAUUGUCAGAUACCUAAUCAAGGGUCUCCCUUCCAUAUGCGGACACAGAAUCGAAGGCUCAGACAAAUACUCUUUAAUACUGUCAAAGGCCUUCUGGCAAUCCUCGGUCCAAUCAUAACGCUGAUCUUUCCGGAGGAGCUUGAAUAUUGGCGCACAUGUGGCAGUCAUGUGGGAUAUAAAUCUGGAAAUAUAAUUCAAGCGGCCAAGAAAACCUCAGACUUGCUUCUCAGUUUUGGGCGCAGGCAUCUCUUGUAUUGCUUUGGACCUUGCAGGAUUAAAACUUCAAGACCUCUUUCACAAAAACCAAUUGACAUAAAGCAAUAACUUUGCCGGAACGGACUCCAAAUGUACACUUGUUCGGAUUCAGCGCGAGUUUGUACUUCUAACGCUGAAAGCUUCGACAAGUACUUAUCAUGUUUCAACUUCCAUUCUCGACUUCGCAAUAGUAUCAUCAACAUAUCCUCGAUCUCUUGUGCAUCAUAUCAUGAAACAAGGUAGUUCAUAGCUCGUUGAUACUUGGGCGUCCGGCGGUUCUUCAACCGAAGGCAUCACUCGAUAACAGAAUGUUCCCCAAGUGUGAUGAAUGUGUCUUCUCCUAUCCUCGCGGUGCCAUUUUAUCUUUAUAUCCAGAACAUCACGUCCAUAAAUGAGAAGACAUUAAAUUUAGCUAUCUAUCUACCAACAUAUCAUAUGUGGUAGAGGAAAUCAUCUUUUGGACUAGCUUUAUUCAAGUCUCUAUAGUCCACACACAUUCGGACUUUUCCAUCUUUCUUAGGCACAGGCACAAUAUUGGCCACCCAUUGAGGAUAUGUAGAAGUCACCAGAAACCCCUCAUCAAUUUGCUUCUGAACUUCUUCUUUA